RNAcentral lists this long non-coding RNA (341 nucleotides) under Panax ginseng (ginseng). RNAcentral describes it as "long non-coding RNA (PGIN_LNC007194)". The record is from RNAcentral. Lineage: Eukaryota; Viridiplantae; Streptophyta; Magnoliopsida; Apiales; Araliaceae.
AUGGUUAAAAAAGGAAAAAUUGGAUUUUCAAUUCAGCCUAUAAUUCAGGUGGUUAUUUUUCAAUUGACUUUGAAUAGGAUAUUUGUUGAGGGUGUCGUAAAUUAGUAGUAUCUGAAAAUAUUCUUUAAUUUUUUUUUAAUAAAAUGUUUAGAAGUAAAAGAGAAGUAUAUUUAUAAUUUCUCGAGAAUAUUAAAAGGGGAUUUGAACCCCAAAAUCCAUCCUCACAGUAACCAUGUAAAUGGCAUUUCUCAUGACUCCACCUAAAAUUGAGGAGUACAAACCAAAAAGGAACUGAUCCAAACAAAAAUUAUGGUUCGCACUUAUCUCUUCCCUUGUUGCAC